RNAcentral lists this ribosomal RNA (448 nucleotides) under uncultured bacterium. Its description in RNAcentral is "bacterial SSU rRNA". It matches the Rfam family "Bacterial small subunit ribosomal RNA", at positions 329 to 794 of the family's 1533-position model. The record is from RNAcentral.
CGCCAGACUCCUACGGGAGGCAGCAGUGGGGAAUAUUGCACAAUGGGGGAAACCCUGAUGCAGCGACGCCGCGUGAGCGAUGAAGUAUUUCGGUAUGUAAAGCUCUAUCAGCAGGGAAGAAGAUGACGGUACCUGACUAAGAAGCCCCGGCUAACUACGUGCCAGCAGCCGCGGUAAUACGUAGGGGGCAAGCGUUAUCCGGAUUUACUGGGUGUAAAGGGAGCGUAGACGGCGAUGCAAGCCAGAUGUGAAAGCCCGGGGCUCAACCCCGGGACUGCAUUUGGAACUGUGUGGCUGGAGUGUCGGAGAGGCAGGCGGAAUUCCUAGUGUAGCGGUGAAAUGCGUAGAUAUUAGGAGGAACACCAGUGGCGAAGGCGGCCUGCUGGACGAUGACUGACGUUGAGGCUCGAAAGCGUGGGGAGCAAACAGGAUUAGAUACCCUUGUAUU